Long non-coding RNA from Oncorhynchus tshawytscha (Chinook salmon), 3095 nucleotides. Lineage: Eukaryota; Metazoa; Chordata; Actinopteri; Salmoniformes; Salmonidae. The record is from Ensembl.
CGCUUGCGUGUGCAGACCUGUCAACGUUGGAGUGUAUCAUACUACAUAAAGCAGCCGUUUCCCUUCUAGUGAAGCUGAAUCCCAGUAGGGGACUGAUUGUUUCUCCUUAGGGCAGGCCGGCAGCUGUCAGUGUGUUAGGGGGGAGGUGGAGUGGUGCUGCUAUAAGGUCACCAUCCGUAGUCAGUGGGACUGUGAAGUAUAGUCUUAUGACUUUCACACUAUUAAAGUAUGGUGUCAUCAAGAGAAGGAGAACGUAUUAUCUGAGAGCUCCACCAGAGCAGAGAGCAGGAGAGCGAGAGAGAGGGGGAUAGAGAAAGAGAGACAGCGAGAGAGACAGACACAAAGAAAGAGAAAUAGGGGGAGAUAGAGAUAAAUGAAAAGGGCUGAUAGGAAGGUGACAGCAGCAUGGAUCUUUGAACUCCUAAAUCCUUUGAAAAACUCUCUUUAUCAAUCUGAACGUCGUCGCACCGAUACACUACGGAGCAGCCCGUGACCAAUCCCAGCCCUCGCAAUUUGCAUUGGUAAUGAGGAAGUUUUUUCAAGAGCGAAUUGGAACUUCAGUCAGAGACUAAGAAAUGCAUUCAAAGUCCAGUCCAGCGCCUUCGGGAUUAAAACAACAGGACAGGCUAAUGUGGAAAUCAAGGUCACACCUCUCUGCAGCGUCAUCUUUUCGCGUCUCAGCCCACUGUCCAGUCCUGGACCAUGGGAAUACUCUCUCACAGCAAUCAGUCACUGGUGUGGACCACAGGACCAUGGACCACAGGUCUGCUCUAGUGCCCUCACCUGGCACCAUCCAGCCAUUGCACCUGCUCAUCAUUCUAACCUGAAACCCAGCAGGACAGAGAAAAGAAAAUGAUUAACAAUUAACAAGGUUGAUGGAAGAAGUUUGGUUCGAACAUUAGAGUAAUGGAGGAGGUUCCACACUUUUAUUUUCAUUGGAAAGCUGUGUUUCAGUUCUUCGUCAUCUGCUUGGCAAAAAUAUUAGUACAUUUACUUUCAAUUCUCUGUAAAUUGUCUGCAUCUAGCUAUCUAUUGAUUUGAUAGGAAAAACCUUGGCUUACCUCUUGUCACGCCCUGGCCUUAGUAUGUUGUGUUUUCUUUAUUAUUUUGGUCAGGCCAGGGUGUGACAUGGGUGAUUUGUGUGUCUUGCUUGUCUAGGGGUUUAUUCGAUUUAUGGGGUUGUGUUUAGUAGAGUUGUCUAGGAAAGUCUAUGGUUGCCUAGAGUGGUUCUCAAUCAGAGGCAGGUGUUUAUCGUUGUCUCUGAUUGGGAACCAUAUUUAGGCAGCCAUAUUCUUUGGAUAUUUCGUGGGUGAUUGUUUCCUGUCUUUGUGUUUGUUGCACCAGAUAGGGCUGUUUCGUUUUUUUGCGGUUCUUGUUUUGUAAAUUGUUCGUAUUUUCCAUCUUUCAUUAAAGAUGUAUAAAGAUAACCACGCUGCAUUUUGGUCCUCCUCUCUUUCACCAGAAGAAAACCGUAACAGAAUCACCCACCACAACAGGACCAAGUGGCGUGGUGACAGGCAGCGGCAGCAGGAGCAGUGAAGUCAGGACUAUACGACUUGGGAGGAAAUAGACAGGUGGACGGUCAACCCAGUGAGAGUGCCGGAGCCCGCCUGGGAUUCGCUGGAGCAGUGCGAGGAGGGUUAUAGGAGAAUGGAGUUGGAGAGACGAGCACGGCGGCGUGGAUAGAAGCCCGAGAGUCAGCCCCAAAAAUGUCACACAGGGAGUAUGGCGAAGCCAGGUAGGAGACCUGCGCCAACUUCCUGUGCUUACCGGGGGGCUAGAUAGACCGGGCAGGCACCGUGUUAUGCUGUGGAGUGCACGGUGUCUCCAGUGCGGGUGCAUAGCCAGCUCCUCGUAUCGGCCGGGCUAGAGUGGGCAUCGAGCCAAGUGUCAUGAAGCCGGCUCUAUGCAUCUGGUCUACAGUGCGUCUCCUUGGGCCGGCUUACAUGGCACCAGCCUUGCGCACGGUGUCCCCGGUUCGCCUGCAUAGCCCAGUGCAGGCUAUUCCACCUCGCCGCACUGGCAGGGCGACCGGGAGCAUUCAACCAGGUAAGGUUGGGCAGGCUCGGUGCUCAAGAGCUCCAGUGCGCCUGCACGGUCCGGUCUAUCCGGUACCACCUCUACGCAUCAGCCCUCCGGUGGCAGCUCCCCGCACUCGCCCAGAGGUGCGUGUCCUCUGCCCAGUACCACCAGUGCCGGCACCACGCACCAGACCUACAGUGCGCCUCGCCUGUCCAGCGCCGCCGGAGUCUCCCGCCUGUCCAGCGCCGCCGGAGUCUCCCUCCUCGCCAGCGCCGCCGGAGCCUCCCGCCUGUCCGGCGCCGCCGGAGUCUCCCGCCUGUCAGGCAGGAUCUGCCAGAGCCGCCUGUCAUCCAGGAUCUACCAGAGCCGCCAGUCAGCCAGACUCUGCCAGAGCCAUCAAACUGCCUGAGCUUCCCCUCAGUCCCUAGCUUCCCCUCAGUCCCAAGCUUCCCCUCAGUCCCGAGCUUCCCCUCAGUCCCGAGCUGCCCCUCAGUUCAGUGGGGCCCUUUGUAAGGGUUACUAGGCCAAGGUCGGCGGCGAGGGUCUCCAAUCUAAGGACGCUAAGGAGGUGGACAAAGACUAAGUUGGAGUGGGGUCCACGUCCCGCGCCAGAGCCACCACCGUGGAUAGACACCCACCCAGACCUCCCCUAUGGGUUUAGGUGUGCGGCCGGGAGUCCGCACCUUUGGGGGGGUAGUGUCACGCCCUGGCCUUAGUAUUUUGUGUUUUCUUUAUUAUUUUGGUCAGGCCAGGGUGUGACGGGUGAUUUAUGUGUCUUGUCUUGUCUAGGGUUUUUUAUAUUUAUGGGGUUGUGUUUAGUAGAGUUGUCUAGGAAAGUCUAUGGUUGCCUAGAGUGGUUCUCAAUCAGAGGCAGGUGUUUAUCAUUGUCUCUGAUUGGGAACCAUAUUUAGGCAGCCAUAUUCUUUGGGUAUUCCGUGGGUGAUUGUUUCCUGUCGUUGUGUUUGUUGCACCAUAUAGGGCUGUUUCGGUUUUUCACGGUUCUUGUUUUGUAAAUUGUUUGUAUUUUCCAUCUUUCAUUGAAGAUGUAUAAAGAUAACCAUGCUGCAUUUUGU